Long non-coding RNA from Betta splendens (Siamese fighting fish), 654 nucleotides. The record is from Ensembl. NCBI's taxonomy places the organism in Eukaryota, Metazoa, Chordata, Actinopteri, Anabantiformes, Osphronemidae.
AUGGUAACCGGCGCUGACUUAAUAAAAGAAGGGCAGCCAAGCGACUUUACACAUUUGUCUCAGGACUCGGAGACAUUGGCAGCAAAAACAACAAGCUUGAAACAUUUUGGUUAUUUUGCAGCAGCAAUGGAGCGCCAUUUGCCGUGGGCCAUUUGGAAGCUCUGGAGACGUUUUAAACGUUGGAGACGCCGACGGAGACAGCGGUGGCAGCCGGUGGCGGAAGUUGCUGUGCUUGGUCGUCCACCUAGACCUCCACCUAGACGUCGGCGGCCUCGCUUUGACCCACCUACUUCCCACGUUGAGGAAGUUGUCCCCCCCACCUCUGACAUUCAGGACUCAGGCUCUGUAGUGCACGGGACCAGCGAGGACGGGACCAGCGAGGACGGGACCAGCGAGGACGGGACCAGCGAGGACGGGACCAGCGAGGACGGGACCAGCGAGGACGGGACCAGCGAGGACGUACCGGAUGGGGGGGACGAGGAGGCUCCAAGCAGCAGCACGUCACUAAGGAGAGCGAUAGGUCAGUUCAGUCACAGUGGCACCAGUGGCACCAGGGACACAUGUCAUCUCCCACGGAAGCUCCUCAGUGGCAGAGCAGGAUGGACUGCAGUGCCACGUGUUAUGGAGCGGACACAUGGCUGUGUGCUGUUCUAG